GAUGAACGCUAGCGAUAGGCCUAACACAUGCAAGUCGAGGGGCAUCACAUGAAGUAGCAAUACGGAUGGUGGCGACCGGCGCACGGGUGAGUAACACGUAUGCAACCUGCCUUCAACAAGGGGAUAACCCGUUGAAAGACGGACUAAUACCCUAUAACACAGGGGUCCCGCAUGGGAAUAUUUGUUAAAGGACAACCGGUUGAAGAUGGGCAUGCGUUCCAUUAGCUAGUUGGCGGGGUAACGGCCCACCAAGGCAACGAUGGAUAGGGGAACUGAGAGGUUUAUCCCCCACACUGGUACUGAGACACGGACCAGACUCCUACGGGAGGCAGCAGUGAGGAAUAUUGGUCAAUGGACGCAAGUCUGAACCAGCCACGUCGCGUGAAGGAAGACGGCCCUACGGGUUGUAAACUCUUUUAUACGGGAAUAAAGUGCCCCACGCGUGGGUUUGCAUGUACCGUAUGAAUAAGGAUCG
This 475-nucleotide ribosomal RNA is filed under the name uncultured bacterium. RNAcentral's name for it is "bacterial SSU rRNA". It matches the Rfam family "Bacterial small subunit ribosomal RNA", at positions 28 to 495 of the family's 1533-position model. The record is from RNAcentral.